AGCAGCCGCGCCAGCCUCAUGCCGAGUCCCGCUAGAGAAGCCACAGCCAGUACGCCAGGUUUCCCCGCGCCUCUGCCGAGUGGGUUGAAGGCAAAUACUUGAAGUUGCAAUCGAAGGUCAAGAAAAUGGAAUCAAGAGGUCACAAUCCUUCUCUGAUGAUGGCUUAGAAAGCUGGAAGACACUCAACAUUGAAUCCUGGGGCUCUGUGCCAUGCUUGCUAGGAGAAACAGCCACCAUGAGUCCAUCUUUCAGAUCUCAAGUGAACAGUCAUUCUCCAGCUGGGAUUGAGAACAAGGGGAAGCUGGCCAUAGAGCCAGGUGACCAAAGAUGGAAGACAAAGGGUGGGCUGUGAUUCCCAGAGCUCCAAGCCUUGUUCUGUCUUGUCACACCAACUGUUACUGAUGAACAGAAAAGAUUUUCUUGGAAUUCCUAUGCCCCUGGCCUUGACUCUGGAGCCAGGGGUCAGGUGACUCACAGCUGAAGAAGUGUGGCUGCUAUUAAAACAUGCCAGAGGAGAGCUUACGACGGCCACUAUUGUUAAGAGUAUCAUUAACGGUGUCAAAAUUCUUGUCAAAAAUCCUGUGUUGCCCCAUAAAUAUAUACACCUACUAUGUAUCCACAAAAAUUUAAAAAAAUCUUACUUUGAAUUACAAAAAAAGGAAGCAGAACAGUAUCUAAUAAAUGACAAAGUGCUUUUCAUGUCUUCUCAGUUGAUCUCCAGCACAACUGUAUGCACUAAUGACUACUAGGCAUUGUUCUGAACGGACAGGAAAGCAAACUCAUAUGUUAAGGGACUUGCCCUGUGGGUCAGUCAGUAUCAAAGCUGAAACCAGGAGCAGAGACCAGGUCUCUGACCUCUCAGGGCCGGCUUGCAAAUUCCCUAGGGGCCUGCUCUUGGGAACACAGGGCGGGUGUUCCGGGAGGGAGGGGCGUGGGGAAGAGAAGGCAGCCUGGCAGUGACUCUGUGCUGUGCUCUGGCUCCUGCCGUUGCCCUUUCACAAC
RNAcentral lists this long non-coding RNA (1002 nucleotides) under Homo sapiens (human). RNAcentral's name for it is "HSALNT0307191". The record is from RNAcentral. Lineage: Eukaryota; Metazoa; Chordata; Mammalia; Primates; Hominidae.